CCCGCGAAACGGCAACCGUGUUCUGGAUUCGUCCACUCGUGUCGCUACCUGCCGGCCACGCACUGUCUCCACCGACCGCCACGUGUCAGCUGAGGCCACCGGAUCCCCGCCCGUGUCCGCCGUCCCCACGGUCGCCGGUCGAUAUAAACCCCCACGGAGCGCUGCAGCCCCCAGGGAGUCUCCGAAGCUCCCCUCGAACUUUGCCCGGUCGAUCGAACCGAUUCCCCACCCAAUCCCUCGAUAAAGGAAAUUUGUUGAUACUGUUGCUAUCUCAUGGUGUCUGGUAGUGGAGAGAAGAUGGAGGUUGAACCAGAACUUGUGAUGUGCUGGAAGGACCUUCCGAUGGAGCUGCUGCUGCGUAUUCUUUCCCUUGUCGACGACCGAAUGGUGAUCGUGUCUUCAACCGUUUGUACUGGCUGGAGAGACGCAAUCGGCUUUGGGCUUACAAGUCUCUCUUUAUCGUGGUGCAAAAACAACAUGAACAACCUUGUGCGGUCACUUGCUCCCAAGUUCACGAAGCUUCAAGUUUUAACUCUUCGACAAAAUAAUGCACCUCAACUUGAGGACAGUGCUGUUGAGGCAGUUGCUAAUUACUGCCAUGACCUGAGGGAACUAGACCUUAGCAAAAGCCUUAGGCUGACUGACCAGUCUUUGUAUGCUCUAGGCCAUGGAUGUCCCUGCCUAAAUAAACUGAAUAUCAGUGGAUGCUCUGCUUUUACCGACUCUGCCCUUGCAUAUCUUGCUAGUUGCUGUCGAAACCUGAAAACCUUGAAUCUCUGUGGAUGUGCGAGAGCUGCUACUGACAGAGCUUUACAAGCUGUAUCACGUCAUUGCAGUGAGCUUCAGUCUUUGAAUCUAGGUUGGUGUGAGAGUGUCAGUGACAAAGGAGUCACCAGUUUGGCAGCUGGUUGCCCAAAUCUCAGGGCAUUGGACUUGUGUGGCUGUGUCCUCAUAACAGAUGAGAGUGUGAUUGCCAUAGCAAAUUGCUGCCCUCAUCUCAGAUCACUGGACUUGUAUUAUUGUCAGAACAUCACAGACAGGGCAAUGUACUCGCUUGCGAAUAGCCAGUACGGGUUGUGGCGAGACGAUGCUGGCAGCAGUAACAGCAAUGACAACGCUGGGCUGGUGAACCUUAACAUCAGCCAGUGCACAGCACUGACGGCUGCCGCCGUCCAAGCCGUGUGCGACACAUUCCCAUUGCUGCACACCUGCCCAGGGAGGCAUUCACUCAUCAUCAGCGGUUGCCUCAGCCUCACUUCUGUGCGCUGUGCUUGUGCCAUCCAUGCUCACCGUGCAGGCAGAGCUCUAGCAGACCACGCCUACUGAGGACCAUGUCUUAGCAAGAUACUCUGAAAGGAGUGGUGUGUAGUUGAAGGUAUAACAAGAAACUUUGUGCUCUACAAUGAGCAGAACUCCAGAGCAAACAAGUUUCUGACGGUCAUCAAGUUUCUUGUCGGGUAAACAUUAAACCAGUCAUACACUAGUAUACAGUAAGGAGGACAUGGAAAUAGCUGCUGAAGUUGGGAAUAUUGUGGAUUAAAAGAAAUAUCAGUACUAUACAUGAACCAACCAGCAAAAUUAUCAAGAGGCAAUUUUGGCAACCACUAGUGCGAGGAAGGAGCGGAGUCUGUGCAGAAGACAAGCGGUCAGCAGCAGCUGCUUGUGGAAGCAUCUGCUUGGGGAGGCUUUUGCUUGAAGAUAUUCUUUUUAAGGCCGGAUGAACCCUCAGCACAGAGGCUUGGUGUUUCCAGGAUCUGUAAGAUGAAUUUAAGAUCAUUAGUCUGGUAUUCCAUGGAUUUCCAGUAGUAUCCUAUUGAUUGGAAAAGUACAUGCAAGUCCCAGCUUCAAAAUAGUCGGUGAUGCCAAGAUAACAAUCUGGAUGGCAAGUGAUUGUACAACCCCGAUCAAACAGGUAAGCCAAAAUCAUCGCACCAUGGCCAGCAGGGAGCAUGAGGGAAAAAAAUGCAACUGCAAAACUCUAAUAUGGCUUGAACAUGUCAAAUAGUUACCACUUGGCCAUGUGAUCAAGACAAUUUAUAAAGAUGUUCACAUAUUUUCUGGCAGGAGGGCCUUUAAACAAUGGAUUAGGAAUAAUAAAAGACUUGACCGGUUGUGAUA
Molecule: RNA transcript, 2118 nt
Organism: Musa acuminata AAA Group (dessert banana)
Lineage: Eukaryota; Viridiplantae; Streptophyta; Magnoliopsida; Zingiberales; Musaceae
Gene name: F-box protein SKP2A
Exons: 6
Source: RefSeq, a predicted model, not a curated record